UAUCUUGCACAAUGGGCGUAAGCCUGAUGCAGCUUCGCCGCGUGCGCCAUAACGGCCGUCUGGUUGUAAAGCUCUGCCUGCGCUGACGAUAAUGACCGUAAGCGAUGCGGAAGCCAUGGCUAACUACGUGCCAGCAGCCGCGGUAAUACGGAGGUGGCUAGCGUUGUCCGGAAUUACUGGGCGUAAAGAAUGCGUAGGCGGUCUUUUAAGUGGGAUGUGAAAUCCCUGGGCUCAACCCAGGAACUGCAUUCCAAACUGGAAGACUAGAGUGCGGGAGAGGAAAUUGGUAUUCCCAGUGUAGCGGUGAAAUGCGUAGAGAUUGGGAGGAACACCAGUAGCGAAGGCGAAUUUCUGGAACGUAACUGACGCUGAGGCGUGAAAGCGUGGGGAGCAAACAGG
This 399-nucleotide ribosomal RNA is filed under the name uncultured bacterium. RNAcentral describes it as "partial 16S ribosomal RNA". It matches the Rfam family "Bacterial small subunit ribosomal RNA", at positions 359 to 776 of the family's 1533-position model. The record is from RNAcentral.